GGGCCGAUGCCGGCGGCGGGGCGGGGCCCAGGUGGAGCCCCUGGACCGAACCUCGCCACACCCGCCUGACAGUGGAUGCCGCUCUCCCUGGCCCGUCCUGUCUUCUGUCUCUCCCAGCUCUCCGCUGAGCCUCCGCGCUCUCACCCCCUGUCUGUCUGUGAUAUGUAACGACAGCUCAGUGUCUGGACACUCUACCCCUGUGGCAGUUUUCAAGGCACCUGCUGUCCACCUACCCCUGACGGCCAUUGCUAGUUCAUCACAGAGGCUCAGACAACUGUUAGGCAUCAGCAUAGAACAGCCAGGACCAAUACAGCGAUACUGUCAGAGGAGGUGGCUGGUGUGUGACUGGUGAUGCUCCGGAGAAGGUCAAAUACAAGGUAGAUUCUUUACCAUCUGAGCCACCACAGAAGCUCUCAGCUGUGACGUAAAUCCACCAGAUGCAAAGAAGCCAACUAUACCUGCCUUGGCAUCACUUCAUGGAAUUUCUCAUCUUUUGCCAUUUUGUAUAAUGCCAGCCCUGACCUUCAUGGCCCAGUCAACUUCACAGCCCAGAAAUGGACACAUUUGCAACAGUUUGGAAAACAGUGCCCUUGACUGAGAGCCCUCUGAGGACGGGGCCCUCUGUGACUGGCGCCGGGUAUGGCACACAGCAGCGUUCAUUGAAGGUUUGCGGAUUGUAGCAAACAAGGAGAGAGGCGGGGCAGGGCGUGGCGGUGGAGGUGUCUGAGAGUCUGUGAGGUGUUAUCGUAAUGAGAAUUAUAAAACUUGGAUGUCCCUUGUUGCCCAAGCUGCCAGAAAGUUCAAGCAAAAUCAAAAGCUUACCCCAGAGACUAACUUAACUCUCAUAGUUUUUUGCUUUUUAAUUU
This is a long non-coding RNA of Bos taurus (domestic cattle), 866 nucleotides long. Lineage: Eukaryota; Metazoa; Chordata; Mammalia; Artiodactyla; Bovidae. The record is from Ensembl.